Cinara cedri is the source of this 337-nucleotide non-coding RNA. The record is from the annotation of a GenBank genome assembly. Lineage: Eukaryota; Metazoa; Arthropoda; Insecta; Hemiptera; Aphididae.
GAAUACCGAACAAUUUUUCCAUUACAGAAUAGAUUUUCACUAUCAAAUAAUUUGAUCAUACUUGUUCAGUCCAUACUAUCUUGGUCCGUAGAUUUAUCGUGCUGAAAAUCCUAGUGUUACCCGCGGUGAAUCACGAGACACAUGCCUUAUUUUUAUAAUAACCAUUGCCUAUAUUUGUAGUUCAUCCGAAGUAAACAAGAAUGCGCUGUAGGCUUUACCAUCAAGGUUAAUAGAUAGCAAUACUAUUUAUUAACCUGGCCCUGCCAUUAACCGAGAAGGUACGUGACUCACUUAUAAAACGCUCGUUUCGUAUCUCUAUUAUAUCAGGCAUGUCAAA